This 381-nucleotide ribosomal RNA is filed under the name uncultured eukaryote. RNAcentral's name for it is "partial 18S ribosomal RNA". It matches the Rfam family "Eukaryotic small subunit ribosomal RNA", at positions 592 to 976 of the family's 1831-position model. The record is from RNAcentral.
CAAUAGCGUAUAUUAAAGCUGUUGCGGUUAAAAAGCUCGUAGUUGGAUUUCUGUCAAGGACAACUGGUCCGCCCCUCGGGUGAGCACAUAGUUUGGUCUUGGCAUCUUGUUGGAAACUGUUGCUGCACUUGGUUGUGUGGCGCAGUGUCCAGCACUUUCACUUUGAGGAAAUUGGAGUGUUUCAAGCAGGCACAUGCCUUUGGACACAGUAGCAUGGAAUAAUUAGAUUGGGCUUUUGCUCCAACUUGUCGGUUUCUGGAGCUGAGGUGAGAAUUAAUGGGGAUUGUUGGGGGCAUCCGAAUUUAGCCGUCAGAGGUGAAAUUCUUGGAUCUGCUAAAGACGGACAACUGCGAAAGCGUUCGCCCAGGAUGUUUUCAUUGA